Molecule: ribosomal RNA, 497 nt
Filed under: uncultured bacterium
Lineage: Bacteria
Description: partial 16S ribosomal RNA
Rfam family: Bacterial small subunit ribosomal RNA
Source: RNAcentral
GAUGAACGCUGGCGGCGUGCCUAAUACAUGCAAGUCGAGCGAACAGAUAAGGAGCUUGCUCCUUUGACGUUAGCGGCGGACGGGUGAGUAACACGUGGGUAACCUACCUAUAAGACUGGGAUAACUUCGGGAAACCGGAGCUAAUACCGGAUAACAUUUGGAACCGCAUGGUUCUAAAGUGAAAGAUGGUUUUGCUAUCACUUAUAGAUGGACCCGCGCCGUAUUAGCUAGUUGGUAAGGUAACGGCUUACCAAGGCGACGAUACGUAGCCGACCUGAGAGGGUGAUCGGCCACGCUGGAACUGAGACACGGUCCAGACUCCUACGGGAGGCAGCAGUAGGGAAUCUUCCGCAAUGGGCGAAAGCCUGACGGAGCAACGCCGCGUGAGUGAUGAAGGGUUUCGGCUCGUAAAACUCUGUUAUUAGGGAAGAACAAAUGUGUAAGUAACUGUGCACGUCUUGACGGUACCUAAUCAGAAAGCCACGGCUAACUACGUG